Molecule: ribosomal RNA, 663 nt
Filed under: uncultured cyanobacterium
Lineage: Bacteria; Bacillati; Cyanobacteriota
Description: bacterial SSU rRNA
Rfam family: Bacterial small subunit ribosomal RNA
Source: RNAcentral
CGGACGGGUGAGUAACGCGUGAGAAUCUGGCUUCAGGUCUGGGACAACCACUGGAAACGGUGGCUAAUACCGGAUGUGCCGAAAGGUGAAAGGUUAACUGCCUGAAGAUGAGCUCGCGUCUGAUUAGCUAGUUGGAAGUGUAAUGGACUCCCAAGGCGACGAUCAGUAGCUGGUCUGAGAGGACGAUCAGCCACACUGGGACUGAGACACGGCCCAGACUCCUACGGGAGGCAGCAGUGGGGAAUUUUCCGCAAUGGGCGAAAGCCUGACGGAGCAAUACCGCGUGAGGGAGGAAGGCUCUUGGGUCGUAAACCUCUUUUCUCAGGGAAGAACACAAUGACGGUACCUGAGGAAUAAGCAUCGGCUAACUCCGUGCCAGCAGCCGCGGUAAUACGGAGGAUGCAAGCGUUAUCCGGAAUGAUUGGGCGUAAAGCGUCCGCAGGUGGCAAUGUAAGUCUGCUGUUAAAGAGUCUAGCUCAACUAGAUACAAGCAGUGGAAACUACAUAGCUAGAGUACGUUCGGGGCAGAGGGAAUUCCUGGUGUAGCGGUGAAAUGCGUAGAGAUCAGGAAGAACACCAGUGGCGAAGGCGCUCUGCUAGGCCGUAACUGACACUGAGGGACGAAAGCUAGGGGAGCGAAUGGGAUUAGAUACCCCAGUAGUC